AAAGGCUUAGGGAAUGUUUUCGCUCUCUCCGAAACAAGUCGGUUUUCUUGUUCCUUCGAGUCUCAAUCUCAGAAGCCAUGGUUGUGAAGCGGAAGACGCUUCGAUGUUAAGCCAUCCGCAUUCUCUCAUUAUCUUCGUCUCUUUUGGCUGUAUCGAAGCUGAAUUGCAGUUUUCUGCCAUUGUUAGUUACUGAUCAGUUACUUGUUAACAUCAAAAAAAUUUGCAGGAACGGGAAGCAAGUCGACGAUCCUAUCCAAUCGAUUCCGUUAUCGAUGAGCAAUUCUUUGGCCUUCCUAUCAAGACAGCCGUCGAUAAGUUUCAACUUCUUCCUGAAUUUUUGAAGGUAAGAGGUCUGGUUAAGCGACACUUGGAUUCCUUUAACUACUUCGCGAAUACAGAGAUAAAAAAGAUUGUCAAGGCCAAUGAUUGCACUGAAUCCAGCACUGAUCGGAGUACUUAUCUUAUACCCCUGGCACUGUGGAAUGGAUUUCAGUGGUUCAAAUUGAGUAGUUCUUCCCGAUUUUUGCAGGUUUCCAGAUGUAAGAAUCGGUACAACAGGUUGCCCAUUACAAGCGUAUAUAUUCAUGGGACCAAUUUACUACCAAAAGUUAAAACACAGGCUUGCAUGAUUUCAUGAUAUAUUGGUCUUGGACAACAUGCAUGCUAGAGGUAAUGGUCUGCGAGUCAUGUUAACUAGACAACCAACAGAAGGGAGAGCUAGGAAUGGAGGACUGUGAAUAAGAGAAAUGGAACGCAAUUGUUUGAUUGCUUAUGGUGCUAGCAUGCUGAUUUUCGAACGCUUAAUGAUCUCAAACAGUUCUUUUAAACUUCAGAAAAAUCAUUGUAAAUUAGUUCAAAAUGGGUUUGAGAAUAUUCCAGGCAUAGGCUGCAGAGUCUAAAGAUGGACAGGUCCGCGGAGUUUGUGGCUUGUUGGGAUAUUACAACCACAAGCUAUAAACGGGAAUUUGUUCUUGUA
Cucurbita maxima (winter squash) is the source of this 976-nucleotide long non-coding RNA. RefSeq lists it as uncharacterized. The record is from RefSeq and is a predicted model, not a curated record. The transcript is spliced from 8 exons. Lineage: Eukaryota; Viridiplantae; Streptophyta; Magnoliopsida; Cucurbitales; Cucurbitaceae.